AAAUCAAACGAGAUUCUAUGAUUAGUGUGAAUGAAAGUAGAGCAGCCUAUAAAAAUAUCAGAAUAUAUAUGUGAUGUAUAUAUAGUAAUCUUUUUUAAACAUAAAGUAGUAUUAGAAUAAAUUAUUUGAUUUAAAACCAAACAAAUAUUAGAUUGAUUUUUAUUAUAAUAUUACUAGUAUUAUUAUUACUUGGAUUAUAUCCAUCAAGAAAAGAUAAUAAAUUAGGGGUUCAAAAAACCCCUAGUAACAAAAAUCUUUGGGUUCAGAAAACCCAUAAAAUCGAGAUAUAUAAAAUAAAAUUAUCCACUGAUAUAUUAAAAAAGUAAAACGGGCAAAACCUGUUUGAAUAUAUAGGGGAACCUUCCUCUAAGGCUAAAUAUGAUAUAUGAGCGACAGCGUAUAGUUGUUUGAGAGAAAGGUUUGAAAUAGUAGUCUUAUAAGCAGCUCGAGUGAAAUUUUAUAAAUAAUUAGAGCGUACCUUUUGCAUAAUGGGUCAGCAAGUUAAUAUUAGAUGCGAGCAUGUGUAAAAUGUGCCCAGAUAAACCAAUUAUGAAAUAAUGAAUUAGUAUCUAAAAUUAGACCCGAAGCCUGGUGAUCUUACUACAGUCAGGGUUAUAAAAGCCCGAACGGUUUAUCGUUGUAAAGAUAUCCGAAGAACUGUGGUAAGUUAGUGAAAGACAAAACUGACUAGGAUAGCUGGUUUUCUGCGAAACC
RNAcentral lists this ribosomal RNA (714 nucleotides) under Phialocephala fortinii. RNAcentral's name for it is "LSU rRNA". The stretch from base 355 to 714 matches the Rfam family "Bacterial large subunit ribosomal RNA", at positions 1 to 866 of the family's 2925-position model. The record is from RNAcentral. Lineage: Eukaryota; Fungi; Ascomycota; Leotiomycetes; Helotiales; Mollisiaceae.